Molecule: ribosomal RNA, 468 nt
Filed under: uncultured bacterium
Lineage: Bacteria
Description: partial 16S ribosomal RNA
Rfam family: Bacterial small subunit ribosomal RNA
Source: RNAcentral
GAUGAACGCUGGCGGCGUGCUUAACACAUGCAAGUCGAACGGUGAAGGCGGAACUUGCUCUGCUGGAUCAGUGGCGAACGGGUGAGUAACACGUGAGCAAUCUGCCCCUGACUCUGGGAUAAGCGCUGGAAACGGCGUCUAAUACUGGAUACGAGCUGCGAAGGCAUCUUCAGCAGCUGGAAAGAACUUCGGUCAGGGAUGAGCUCGCGGCCUAUCAGCUUGUUGGUGAGGUAACGGCUCACCAAGGCGUCGACGGGUAGCCGGCCUGAGAGGGUGACCGGCCACACUGGGACUGAGACACGGCCCAGACUCCUACGGGAGGCAGCAGUGGGGAAUAUUGCACAAUGGGCGAAAGCCUGAUGCAGCAACGCCGCGUGAGGGACGACGGCCUUCGGGUUGUAAACCUCUUUUAGCAGGGAAGAAGCGAAAGUGACGGUACCUGCAGAAAAAGCGCCGGCUAACUACGUG